AAUUGCUUACACCAAGUCCAGUCUCUCUCCCUUCCUCCCUCCCUCAGUCCCUCCUAAUUUUCAUUUGGUAAAUUGUACCUGUUGUAUGAACGAUCUAUGCAGAAAGGUGAUGCUAUGUGCAAAAUGAAAAGUAUUGUUGCUUCCUUUUGUUCAAGAAUGCAAAACAAGCAUGAUCUAAGCAAGACAUAGUUAUUUUGAUACUUUUCUGUCAUGAAUUCCAAUAGCUUCUGGUUCAGUUCAUCAAACAAUAAAUAAUUUGUUCCUACCUAAUCCUAAUGUACUCCGAUGGCACCAUGAGAGAAAAGUCAUGAAUAAUUUCUUCAAAACCAGUUACCCAUGCAGCGUUGCAUACCCCUAAUGGAUCUUUAGGUAACUGAUCAGUGGCCACUGAGUUUCCUUGUCAUGCACAGUACAGAUGAUAUGAGAAGUCCAUUUUAGUUAUAUAUAUAUAUCUCUUUGAAACAACAUUGCUGGAAGGAAAUUCUGUUUUUUUUCCUACAAGCUGCUCAUUUACAAUGUCGAUGAGUUGAUUAUGUAUGCACCAGAAGCUUGCCACUCCAUAGUCCAAUUUAGUCACCCUCAGGGUCUUUAUAUCAGAUUGAAGGAGAAACAAAAUUCAGUCCAUGGAUUUUUGUGGUCUCCAUAAUGCCCUUGCCUGUUCAGGUUCACUUGGUGUUUUAAUUGGGUGUGCAGGGGAAACAUCUUUGAGAUGCUGAACAACUGGCCACAUUGGAGCACUCAAGUUAUCGUUCUACAGAUCUAACAUACUAUUGUGCCAUGAACUAAAACUCUGAACUUCUGUUUCUUGAAAUAUUGGGCUUCCAUUUCUUGUUGGUUGCAAAUUCUUGUUGGUUCACGUACAACUGUGCACAUAUGUUCAAGCUUUACUCUAUCCAGUAGAAUGAGCAGUGGUUGUUUGUGCAGAGUUUAGGCAUCUUCUGUUACUCACUUGAUCUCACUUUAUAAUGUGUCUAUUUCAAUCAGUAGAUGCAUGAAGGAAAGUAAUAUUUGGGAAAAAUUCCUCACAUGCCAUUGCUUGGUUAAACCCUAAAUCCCUUAUAUUUCUUGUGAACUGGUAGGCAAAACAUGCUGAACUCAAGGAUACUGAUAUCAUUUGCCUUUUGUUGUGUAGGUAUCAUGCCAACAGAAUGCUUAGCUUUUACGCACCAGGGUUAGUGUUCUUCAAGCCUGCAUUUUGGAUGCAUGUUCUUGUUAGUAUGCUCAAAAAUUUCAUUUUCAACUAUCGAAACGCAAACAACCAAUUUAUACCAUGUCGCACCUCUUUAUAGCUUGAAUGUUGAGGAGUGUUCUACUUCUAUCACACCACAAACUGUUCAGAAGAUGGCAGAUGCACUGCAUGAAGGGUCGGUCCUUUCACAUCUCUCAUUAGGAAAGAUCAAUCUGAUAUGUGGCAAUGCAAUGCUAACCUUCUAUCCAAACUUGCCUCUCUGACAAGGUUAGCAUAAGUUUUCUCCAUAUUUAUUGAUAGAUACCAACAUGUAGCGAAAUAAUAGAUCAAUUAUAACAUUAAGUCAUGCAGGUUUUCAGAACUAACUGACUGGUAUAAAACUAAAUAAGUUAACGGUUGAUAAGUUGUGCCUGCUUGCACAAUCCUUGCGCUUAUCUGGACUUCUGCUAGGUGGAACUUCCAUUGGACUGCUAAAUUUUCUGCCCAUCUUUUUUUAAAUUUUUUGAAGGCUUUGCUUGCCAUUUACGGUUAAUAUUUGCAGGCUGUGCGCAAAAAUUUUAUCUUAUCUGUGCUACUCUUAUGCAUGUUGGGACAAUUAGCCUUACUGACGCAUUAUUUUGUAUAUCUCAAGAUUUGCUGAGGCUGGAGUUGUCUAACUGUGGCCUUACAGCACCUGAUUUUGCACAAAUCUGUAUAAAUCUCUCUCGUAUCAAUACUCUUGACUUAAACUUUGGAGGAAAUUCAAUUUUUAUACAGAAAUCCG
This is a long non-coding RNA of Panicum virgatum (switchgrass), 1952 nucleotides long. RefSeq lists it as uncharacterized. The record is from RefSeq and is a predicted model, not a curated record. NCBI's taxonomy places the organism in Eukaryota, Viridiplantae, Streptophyta, Magnoliopsida, Poales, Poaceae. The transcript is spliced from 3 exons.